GCAGUCGAACGAGUUCUCGUUGAUGAUCGGUGCUUGCACCGAGAUUCAACAUGGAACGAGUGGCGGACGGGUGAGUAACACGUGGGUAACCUGCCCUUAAGUGGGGGAUAACAUUUGGAAACAGAUGCUAAUACCGCAUAGAUCCAAGAACCGCAUGGUUCUUGGCUGAAAGAUGGCGUAAGCUAUCGCUUUUGGAUGGACCCGCGGCGUAUUAGCUAGUUGGUGAGGUAACGGCUCACCAAGGCGAUGAUACGUAGCCGAACUGAGAGGUUGAUCGGCCACAUUGGGACUGAGACACGGCCCAAACUCCUACGGGAGGCAGCAGUAGGGAAUCUUCCACAAUGGACGCAAGUCUGAUGGAGCAACGCCGCGUGAGUGAAGAAGGCUUUCGGGUCGUAAAACUCUGUUGUUGGAGAAGAAUGGUCGGCAGAGUAACUGUUGUCGGCGUGACGGUAUCCAACCAGAAAGCCACGGCUAACUACGUGCCAGCAGCCGCGGUAAUACGUAGGUGGCAAGCGUUAUCCGGAUUUAUUGGGCGUAAAGCGAGCGCAGGCGGUUUUUUAAGUCUGAUGUGAAAGCCCUCGGCUUAACCGAGGAAGCGCAUCGGAAACUGGGAAACUUGAGUGCAGAAGAGGACAGUGGAACU
This 646-nucleotide ribosomal RNA is filed under the name Lacticaseibacillus paracasei subsp. paracasei. RNAcentral describes it as "bacterial SSU rRNA". It matches the Rfam family "Bacterial small subunit ribosomal RNA", at positions 57 to 668 of the family's 1533-position model. Lineage: Bacteria; Bacillati; Bacillota; Bacilli; Lactobacillales; Lactobacillaceae. The record is from RNAcentral.